RNAcentral lists this ribosomal RNA (253 nucleotides) under uncultured bacterium. RNAcentral describes it as "partial 16S ribosomal RNA". It matches the Rfam family "Bacterial small subunit ribosomal RNA", at positions 524 to 776 of the family's 1533-position model. The record is from RNAcentral.
UACGGAGGAUGCAAGCGUUAUCCGGAAUGAUUGGGCGUAAAGCGUCCGCAGGUGGCUGUGUAAGUCUGCUGUCAAAGAGCGAAGCUCAACUUCGUAAAGGCAGUGGAAACUACACGGCUAGAGUGCGUUCGGGGCAGAGGGAAUUCCUGGUGUAGCGGUGAAAUGCGUAGAGAUCAGGAAGAACACCGGUGGCGAAGGCGCUCUGCUAGGCCGCAACUGACACUGAGGGACGAAAGCGUGGGGAGCGAACGGG